RNAcentral lists this ribosomal RNA (253 nucleotides) under uncultured bacterium. RNAcentral describes it as "partial 16S ribosomal RNA". It matches the Rfam family "Bacterial small subunit ribosomal RNA", at positions 524 to 776 of the family's 1533-position model. The record is from RNAcentral.
UACGUAGGGUGCAAGCGUUAAUCGGAAUUACUGGGCGUAAAGCGUGCGCAGGCGGCUUUGCAAGACAGAUGUGAAAUCCCCGGGCUUAACCUGGGAACUGCAUUUGUGACUGCAUGGCUGGAGUGCGGCAAAGGGGGAUGGAAUUCCGCGUGUAGCAGUGAAAUGCGUAGAUAUGCGGAGGAACACCGAUGGCGAAGGCAAUCCCCUGGGCCUGCACUGACGCUCAUGCACGAAAGCGUGGGGAGCAAACAGG